This 671-nucleotide ribosomal RNA is filed under the name uncultured Gammaproteobacteria bacterium. RNAcentral's name for it is "bacterial SSU rRNA". It matches the Rfam family "Bacterial small subunit ribosomal RNA", at positions 89 to 793 of the family's 1533-position model. The record is from RNAcentral. Lineage: Bacteria; Pseudomonadati; Pseudomonadota; Gammaproteobacteria.
AGUAGAGUGGCGGACGGGUGAGUAACGCGUGGGAAUCUACCCAGUAGUGGGGGACAACUACCGGAAACGGUAGCUAAUACCGCAUACGCCCUAUGGGGGAAAGGCUUCGGCCGCUAUUGGAUGAGCCCGCGUCAGAUUAGCUAGUUGGUAGGGUAAAGGCCUACCAAGGCAACGAUCUGUAGCUGGUCUGAGAGGACGAGCAGCCACACUGGGACUGAGACACGGCCCAGACUCCUACGGGAGGCAGCAGUGGGGAAUAUUGGACAAUGGGCGAAAGCCUGAUCCAGCAAUGCCGCGUGUGUGAAGUAGGCCUGCGGGUUGUAAAGCACUUUCAGUUGGGAAGAUGAUGACGUUACCAACAGAAGAAGCACCGGCUAAAUCCGUGCCAGCAGCCGCGGUAAUACGGAUGGUGCGAGCGUUAAUCGGAAUUACUGGGCGUAAAGCGCGCGUAGGCGGCUAAGUCAGUCAGAAGUGAAAGCCCCGGGCUCAACCUGGGAAUUGCUUUUGAUACUGCUUAGCUAGAGUUUGGUAGAGGAUAGUGGAAUUCCAGGUGUAGCGGUGAAAUGCGUAGAUAUCUGGAGGAACAUCAGUGGCGAAGGCGACUGUCUGGACCAAAACUGACACUGAGGUGCGAAAGCGUGGGUAGCAAACAGGAUUAGAUACCCUGGUAG